UUUUUUUGCCUCGACGCCACUGACCAGCAGGAGGCCGCGAGUUCGCCGGCCCGAGGGCGACGGCGACGGCGACGGCGACUCGGUCGAAGAAGGGUGGGGCUGGGUGGGCCCCAGAGCCACGUGGCGAGUGUCUCCGGCAAGCGUGCAUGGGUCAGAUGGAGAGUGAUCGCUGAUCGCCCCCGACAGAAUGGCACUGCAGCCUCAUCUCGGAUAAGGAGGCUAAUUCUGCUGCUCCCUGCUGUUCUCUGCUCGUCCCAUGCUCAAAGCCAUAUUUUAAGCGCAGUUGCUUCGGUCGAAGAAAAGAUCGCCUGUUUAGUAGCUUCAGAGAGCAGAAAGGCAGCUCUGCUUUAGAGUUCUUCACCGAGACAACCCAUUCAGGAAUGGAGGAUAAGUCCCCGGCGAGUCGACCCGCAGUCAUACCUAGUCUGCCGCGCGACUCUCGUGGGUCCCUCGAGGUCUUCAACCCCACCAGUUUCGCCGCUCGGCCCCAAGCCAAGAGCCCGACUCCUGCCUUCGCCACCUGGCAGCCCCGCUCCGACCCGGCGUCUCAUCCCCAAUCGCACCCGGCGUCCGCCGAGGACGACGACAUCAUCCGCCCAUGGUUGGCCCUGCCCACCGGGCCAACGGCGGUGCCGCCGGUGCCGACGCAUCAGCACUACUCCGAGACCGUCUCUGUCACCAAAAAGGAUUCUGCUGCCUCGUCGUCCUCAACCGCCGUCUCCCAGGAUGUCGGCGCGGCAGCUCAGCGGGCGGCGGAGUGGGGCUUGGUGCUGAAGACCGACGAGGAGACGGGGAGGCCUCAGGGAGUCGGGGUGCGAAGGUCGGGCGACGAAGUCGGGAAGGGUGGCCCGCAUAGGGUCUCUGACGGGGAGUCAUUCCGGAACUCGGAGGAUUCGGAUGCGUUGGGGUCAGACUUCGGCGGAGGGAAAGAGAAGGGAGGGAUCCCUAGGGUAUCGGAGGAGCUCCGAGAGGCGCUCUCCGCCUUCCAGCAGACCUUCGUAGUGUCCGACGCUACGAAGCCCGACUAUCCCAUCAUGUACGCGAGCGCCGGAUUCUUCAACAUGACUGGUUACCUCGCCAAAGAAGUCAUUGGCCGAAAUUGUCGCUUCUUGCAAGGUGCUGGAACUGAUCCAUCAGAGAUUGCAAAAAUAAGGGAAACGCUGUCAUUUGGUGCAAAUUAUUGUGGUCGUAUAUUGAAUUACAAGAAGGAUGGUACACCAUUUUGGAAUCUUUUGACUAUUGCUCCCAUCAAAGAUGAGGAAGGGAACACCCUCAAGUUCAUUGGGAUGCAAGUGGAAGUUAGCAAGUACACAGAAGGAUCUAAGGACACAAUGGUACGACCCAAUGGAUUACCAGAGUCCUUGAUUCGUUAUGAUGCUAGGCAAAAAGAUAGAGUUCGCAGUUCAGUUUCUGAUUUAGUAAUGGCCGUAAAGGAUCCAAGCAGACUUUCAGAAUCAAGAAAUUACACUCAUAUGAGGAAAUCUGAAGGUGGUGGACAACCUGUGGCAUCUGAAGUUCCUGAAAGGAGGAAAUCAGAAAAUACAACUUCAGUUAGGCGCAAUUCACGUGGUGAAACAAGAAUCUCAAUGCAAAAAAUUUCAGAACUCCCUGAAGCUACAAAAAAAUCAAGAAAGUCAGGACUAAUGUCCUUCAUGGGACUUAUUGGCUUAGGUCAUGGGAAUAGUGAAAAGCAUGACCAGGCCGAAGCUAUUGUGGAGGAACUAUUGAUGGAAAGUGAUGAUGAAAGGCCAGAGAGUUUUGAUGAUAAGGAAAGAAAAAAGGAGAUGAGACGGGGCAUUGAUCUCGCUACAACCCUAGAACGCAUUGAGAAGAACUUUGUGAUUACUGAUCCACGGCUUCCUGAUAAUCCUAUUAUAUUUGCAUCUGACAGUUUCUUGGAACUGACAGAGUACAGUCGUGAAGAAAUUUUGGGAAGAAAUUGUAGGUUUCUCCAAGGCCCUGAAACCGAUCCAAGUACUGUGAGGAAAAUCAGAGAAGCUAUCGAUAACCAAAGAGAUGUAACUGUGCAGUUGAUAAAUUACACAAAAACUGGCAAAAAGUUCUGGAAUCUUUUUCACUUGCAACCCAUGCGUGAUCAAAAGGGGGAAGUUCAGUAUUUUAUUGGUGUCCAGUUGGAUGGAAGUGAGCAUGUUGAACCACUCCAUAACUGCAUACCAGAAGAGACUGCAAAAAAAAGUGAAAAGCUGGUGAAAGAAACUGCUGAUAAUGUUGAUGAAGCUGUUAGAGAACUCCCAGAUGCUAAUUUGAAACCAGAGGAUCUAUGGGCUAAUCAUUCAAAGUUGGUUCUCCCAAAGCCCCACAUGAAGAGUAAUCAAUCAUGGAGGGCCAUCCAAAAAGUUCUAGGUAGUGGAGAAACGGUAGGAUUGAAACAUUUCAGACCUGUUAAACCUUUGGGCUCAGGUGAUACUGGCAGUGUCCAUAUGGUGGAGUUGGUGGGUACUGGAGAAUACUAUGCUAUGAAGUCUAUGGAUAAAAGUGUCAUGCUGAACCGUAACAAGGUGCAUAGAGCUUGUGCAGAAAGAGAGAUACUUGAUAUGUUGGAUCAUCCUUUCCUUCCUACAUUAUAUGCAUCCUUUCAGACAAAAACACAUAUAUGUUUGAUAACGGAUUACUGCCCUGGUGGAGAGCUUUUUUUACUUCUGGAUAAACAACCUGAGAAGGUCCUCAAGGAAGAUGCUGUUAGGUUCUAUGCUGCUGAAGUAGUUGUAGCACUUGAAUACCUUCACUGUCAAGGUAUCAUAUACCGGGACCUGAAACCAGAGAAUAUCUUGCUUCAGCGAGAUGGCCAUGUUUCUUUGACAGACUUUGAUUUAUCAUGUUUGACACCUUGCAAGCCUCAGCUUUUCCUCCCAAAUGAUGAGGGUAAGAAGAAACAGAGAAAUGGAAAGGCUCCUCCAAUAUUUGUAGCUGAGCCAGUGCGUGCAUCAAAUUCAUUUGUUGGAACUGAAGAAUACAUUGCACCGGAGAUCAUUACUGGAGCUGGUCACACUAGUGCAGUUGAUUGGUGGGCACUUGGAAUUCUUCUUUAUGAGAUGUUAUAUGGUUAUACACCAUUUCGAGGAAAGACUAGGCAGAAGACAUUUGCUAACGUUCUUCACAAGGACCUUAGAUUUCCUGGAAGUAUCUCAGUAAGUCUUCCAGCAAAACAGUUGAUAUAUCGGUUGCUGCAUAGGGAUCCUAGAAACAGAUUAGGCUCGUGCCAUGGAGCUAAUGAAGUCAAGCAACAUCCGUUUUUCAGUGGCAUCAAUUGGGCUCUUGUGCGUUGCAUGAACCCUCCCAAGCUGGCUACUCCUCUAUUUGAUACUAAAAUGGCAGAGGACCCUACGAUGGCAUAUACAGACCUAGAUAAUCUUCAAACGGUGUUUUGAACAAAGAGUACGGUUUGGUCUUGCAUUGUGAUGGCGUCGAGUGUUGGCUUGGUCUAUGUUGGUUUGCUACAUAUCUAGAAAGCUCCAUGAUUUGUGCUAAGAUCAAAAUAUCAGUAGAUUUGUUGUGGUGAUGCCUUCACAGGAUUUGAGGCUUCGUAUAGUGACUGACUCAUUAUAUGGAUGCUGAUCUAAUUCAUUUAUUAUUAGACUAAGCAACUGAUGCUUAACGGAUAAAGUAUGAUUCUAAUGCGUCAUUGAGAUUACAAUAGUUAUAGCCAGACAAUUAACAGAUUGUAGCAGUCUUAGUUUAUCACGUGAAUCUUAAUUUUCAAUAUAAAUAAUGUCUUAGUUCUGGAUACUUAGUCAACAAGUACAUUCAGAGAGAGGGUUUGUCUGAUAAGUUUGGUGCAUCUGAUUUACGGGAAUAAUGUAUUUAUUCUUUAUGAAUUAUUGUAAAAUAAGUAUUUUUUAUAUUUGGUUAUACAAAUACAUUCAGAUCA
Zingiber officinale is the source of this 3889-nucleotide RNA transcript. It is a transcript of the gene named phototropin-1A-like, with no coding region annotated. Lineage: Eukaryota; Viridiplantae; Streptophyta; Magnoliopsida; Zingiberales; Zingiberaceae. The transcript is spliced from 26 exons. The record is from RefSeq and is a predicted model, not a curated record.